GCCGAAAUAGAUCAGUUGGCAUAGCAAUUCAUUCUUAAUGAAUAGGUUAUCGGUUCGAGUCCGAUUUUCGGCU
This 73-nucleotide transfer RNA is filed under the name Prevotellaceae bacterium. RNAcentral's name for it is "tRNA-Lys". It matches the Rfam family "tRNA". Rfam says of the family: Transfer RNA (tRNA) molecules are approximately 80 nucleotides in length. Their secondary structure includes four short double-helical elements and three loops (D, anti-codon, and T loops). Further hydrogen bonds mediate the characteristic L-shaped molecular structure. tRNAs have two regions of fundamental functional importance: the anti-codon, which is responsible for specific mRNA codon recognition, and the 3' end, to which the tRNAs corresponding amino acid is attached (by aminoacyl-tRNA synthetases). tRNAs cope with the degeneracy of the genetic code in two manners: having more than one tRNA (with a specific anti-codon) for a particular amino acid; and 'wobble' base-pairing, i.e. permitting non-standard base-pairing at the 3rd anti-codon position. The record is from RNAcentral. Lineage: Bacteria; Pseudomonadati; Bacteroidota; Bacteroidia; Bacteroidales; Prevotellaceae.